CCCAGAAAAUGGACUCUGCGUUGCCAUUAAUGCAGAACGUGAACUGUGUAAUGCUGAGAGGGAAGCCAAUGUUCUGAGCACUGGCUCCAGGGAACACAUUGUCAAACAAAUUCAGAGUGUGAAUGUGCGACCUGUUGGAUGUGAGCGCCUUCUUUUAAAGCAGACUUGCAAUUUCCUAAUCUCUCACUUGCCUGGGAUUGUGGGAGCUGUACUUGAAAAAUCUCUAGAAUCUGGGAAUGUCUUGCGAAGAACUAAAUUCAAAACCCAAGCAAGUUCCAGGAAAAUGAAGUCCCAACAUCUGGAAAUAUUGAUGUCAGGAAAAGACCCUUCAGCGUUCCCGUAAGUACGUCUCGUCCUGGGCUUGGAGGACGCCUUCUGAUUUGAGGGCUCCAUCCCUGGAUGCUAGCAGAGCAGAGCCACAGUGGGAUUUUCCAUCUGCACCUGGAAUCUGGC
Molecule: long non-coding RNA, 453 nt
Filed under: Gopherus agassizii (Agassiz's desert tortoise)
Lineage: Eukaryota; Metazoa; Chordata; Testudines; Testudinidae
Description: lncRNA (ENSGAGG00000022291.1)
Source: RNAcentral